RNAcentral lists this ribosomal RNA (407 nucleotides) under uncultured bacterium. RNAcentral's name for it is "partial 16S ribosomal RNA". It matches the Rfam family "Bacterial small subunit ribosomal RNA", at positions 30 to 526 of the family's 1533-position model. The record is from RNAcentral.
AUUGAACGCUGGCGGCAGGCCUAACACAUGCAAGUCGAUCGGAGCGGCGGACGGCUGAGUAAUGCCUAGGAAACUGCCUGGUUGAGGGGGAUAACGUCCGGAAACAGGCGCUAAUACCGCAUAAUCUCACAUGAGCCUAUGUCGGUUUAGCUAGUUGGUGGGGUAAAGGCCUACCAGGGACAUGAUCCGUAACUGGUCUGAGAGGAUGAUCAGCCACACUGGAACUGAGACACGGUCCAGACUCCUACGGGAGGCAGCAGUGGGGAAUAUUGGACAAUGGGCGAAAGCCUGAUCCAGCCAUGCCGCGUGUGUGAAGAAGGUCUUCGGAUUGUAAAGUACUUUCAGCGGGGAGGCGUUAACCGCAGAAGAAGCACCGGCUAACUCCGUGCCAGCAGCCGCGGUAAUAC